CCUACGGUGGGCAGCAGUGAGGAAUAUUGGUCAAUGGCCGGAAGGCUGAACCAGCCAUGCCGCGUGAAGGUCAGUGCCCUAUGGGCGUUAAACUUCUUUUGUGCGGGAGCAAUAAUGGUCACGUGUGGCCAGACGAGAGUACCGUACGCAUAAGCAUCGGCUAACUCCGUGCCAGCAGCCGCGGUAAUACGGGGGAUGCAGGGGUUAUCCGGAUUUAUUGGGUUUAAAGGGUGAGUAGGCUGUGAGGUAAGUCAGCGGGGAAAUGCCCCCGCUCAACGGGGUGAAGUGCCAUUGAUACUGGCUUGCUGGAAUGCGGAUGAAGUGGGAGGAAUGUGUGGUGUAGCGGUGGAAUGCAUAGAGAUCACACAGAACACCGAUUGCGAAGGCAUCUCACGAAUCCGCGAUUGACGCUGAUGCACGAAAGCGUGGGUAUCAAACAGGAUUAGAUACCCUAGUAGUC
RNAcentral lists this ribosomal RNA (460 nucleotides) under uncultured bacterium. RNAcentral's name for it is "partial 16S ribosomal RNA". It matches the Rfam family "Bacterial small subunit ribosomal RNA", at positions 338 to 795 of the family's 1533-position model. The record is from RNAcentral.